AGACGUCUACAUUAGAUACCCGUGUAGUCCCAGCCGUAAACUAUGCGCGUUAGGUGUAUCGGUGACCACGAGUCACCGAGGUGCCGAAGGGAAACCGUGAAACGUGCCGCCUGGGAAGUACGGUCGCAAGGCUGAAACUUAAAGGAAUUGGCGGGGGAGCACCGCAACGGGAGGAGCGUGCGGUUUAAUUGGAUUCAACACCGGAAAACUCACCAGUGAAGACUGUUACAUGAAAGCCAGGCUGAUGACCUUGCUAGAUUUUCAG
RNAcentral lists this ribosomal RNA (265 nucleotides) under uncultured archaeon. Its description in RNAcentral is "partial 16S ribosomal RNA". It matches the Rfam family "Archaeal small subunit ribosomal RNA", at positions 717 to 982 of the family's 1478-position model. The record is from RNAcentral.